CCUACGGGGGGCAGCAGUGAGGAAUAUUGGUCAAUGGGCGCGAGCCUGAACCAGCCAAGUCGCGUGAAGGAUGACUGCCCUACGGGUUGUAAACUUCUUUUGUCAAGGGAUAAAGUGAGGCACGUGUGCCUUUUUGUAUGUACUUUAUGAAUAAGGAUCGGCUAACUCCGUUCCAGCAGCCGCGGUAAUACGGAGGAUUCGAGCGUUAUCCGGAUUUAUUGGGUUUAAAGGGAGCGUAGAUGGGUUGUUAAGUCAGUGGUUAAAGUUUGGGGCUCAACCUUAAAAGUGCAAUUGAUACUGGCAGUCUUGAGUACAGUUGAGGUAGGCGGAAUGCGCGGUGUAGCGGUGAAAUGCUUAGAUAUCACGCAGAACUCCGAUUGCGAAGGCAGCUUACUAAACUGCCACUGACACUGAUGCUCGAAAGUGUGGGUAUCAAACAGGAUUAGAUACCCGAGUAGUC
RNAcentral lists this ribosomal RNA (460 nucleotides) under uncultured bacterium. Its description in RNAcentral is "partial 16S ribosomal RNA". It matches the Rfam family "Bacterial small subunit ribosomal RNA", at positions 338 to 795 of the family's 1533-position model. The record is from RNAcentral.